CUGAAGGCUUUAGAAAGUCUACAAGAUAUGAUUCAGUCGUUUCCAUUGAGAGAUCCCUCUUAUGAAAGACUACAUAGUGACCUAGAAAAAAUAAGGGCCAAGUUUAAACAGGUCUGUUCCCUUCUGAAUGUUAAGCCACAGUUUCAAAACUCAUCUGAGAAAGGAAUAUCUUUUUGAUGAGGAUACUCCACAUGCAGUCGAGAAUUUCUUUUAUGAAAGGGAUGAUAGCAAACAGGUUGCCAGAACUGGCACAGCUGAAGGUGAAACCAAGCUCUGGCAGACAUGCAAAAUUUGGUUGUUCAUACAUUGCAUGCCAGUGUUUAUAAAUAACAGCUUUUAUUACAUUGAGACUUGAAGUAUAGAUCUGAAAUCAACAUCAACCAACAAUACAAUAAGAGCACGUCGUAAUUGUUUACUAGGACAAUAAACUACCUGCACGUAUUCACAACAUCUGUCAAUAACGUUUUACGGGAAAUUAGUAAAUCAUUACGUAUGCAGUGAAAAGGAAUCUGGUGGAAUUGUCUACCAGAGAAAUCCAAGCAUUUCAUGGAUUUAUCUUUCAAUUUCCCUCAUCUGAAUUAAGUAAUGCCAUGAAUAAUAAUGUAGCAAAUUUUAAGCUUUUAGAAGUUGUUAGACCUUAAAUGUGUGUCACAUUGACUGUUUGUUGAUUUUGAAACAUCACAUUAUUUUACUUGACAAAAAAAUUCCUCCCACCAAAACCACUAUUUGUACUAUUUUCAAUGUUCCUGUGAGGACAUCCCUGAAUUGAUUGAUGUUCUGCCUGUAGGCUUUAAAUGAAGAAAGGAGAAGGGAUGGGGUGGGGUGGGGUGGGGUGGGGCAGAGUGCACAUUGGCAGCAUUCCAUCAAAGUGGGUUUGAGUUUUCAAGACAAGAAACAUCUUCAAGAACAUCUUUGGAUCGAGUAAAAAAAAAUUAUAUAUAUAUAUAUACAGGUAUAUUACAUCACUUAAGAGUGAUGCACUUUUUAUGUACAGACACAGAUGUGGUGAAUUGAGACCAUCUUCUGGGCCUUCUGCCCUGUGUGUUAGGGCACGGUAAAAGCUAGCUUGUUAAAUAUUAAUAUAUACCUUGUGAUGGGUUGCUUUUAUGAGCCCUGAGGAACAGUGGCUGUGUUAGAUUUCCGCCAAUCAAAUAUAACUGCUCCCAGUACAUGAAUCUGCAGUUGAAUGUCAUCAGACCAAAAUGAAAUGUA
Long non-coding RNA from Lingula anatina, 1212 nucleotides. NCBI's taxonomy places the organism in Eukaryota, Metazoa, Brachiopoda, Lingulata, Lingulida, Lingulidae. The record is from RefSeq and is a predicted model, not a curated record.